RNAcentral lists this ribosomal RNA (253 nucleotides) under uncultured bacterium. Its description in RNAcentral is "partial 16S ribosomal RNA". It matches the Rfam family "Bacterial small subunit ribosomal RNA", at positions 524 to 776 of the family's 1533-position model. The record is from RNAcentral.
UACGUAGGUGGCAAGCGUUGUCCGGAAUUAUUGGGCGUAAAGCGCGCGCAGGCGGUCCUUUAAGUCUGAUGUGAAAGCCCACGGCUCAACCGUGGAGGGUCAUUGGAAACUGGGGGACUUGAGUACAGAAGAGAAGAGUGGAAUUCCAGGUGUAGCGGUGAAAUGCGUAGAUAUCUGGAGGAACACCGGUGGCGAAGGCGGCAUCCUGGACCGAUAUUGACGCUGAUGCGCGAAAGCCAGGGGAGCAAACGGG